This 227-nucleotide small nuclear RNA is filed under the name Ictidomys tridecemlineatus (thirteen-lined ground squirrel). RNAcentral describes it as "Spermophilus tridecemlineatus (thirteen-lined ground squirrel) 7SK RNA". It matches the Rfam family "7SK RNA". From Rfam's summary of the family: 7SK was discovered as an abundant small nuclear RNA in the mid-70s but a possible function has only recently been suggested. Two independent studies have found that 7SK RNA binds the CDK9/cyclin T complex (known as elongation factor P-TEFb). P-TEFb activates transcription by phosphorylating the C-terminal domain of RNA polymerase II. Lineage: Eukaryota; Metazoa; Chordata; Mammalia; Rodentia; Sciuridae. The record is from Rfam by way of RNAcentral.
GUAUGUUCACACCAAUUUAUGCCAUUAUACUUCUACUCUUUUUUUUUUUUUUUUCUCGAUGAGGACAAACUUCUCCAAUAGAGGAGGAGUGAUCUUCAGUCAAGGGUAUACGAGUAGCUGAGCUCCCCUGCUAGAAACUCCAAACAAGCUCUCCAUUCAUUUUCUGAAGGUACUUUUAAAAGUGAUUUCUAUCAGUGUUUUGCAUAGACUCUGGUUCAGAGUUAUUU